CCCUUAGAUGUCCGGGGCUGCACGCGCGCUACACUGAAUGAAUCAGCGUGCUAGAAAACCUUGUUUGACAUGGCUAGGUAACCCAUUGAAAAUCAUUCGUGAUUGGGAUCGGGACUUGCAAAUGUAUCCCUUGAACGAGGAAUUCCCAGUAAGUGCGGGUCAUCAGCUCGCGUUGAUUACGUCCCUGCCCUUUGUACACACCGCCCGUCGCUGCCCGGAACUGAGCCGUUUCGAGAAGACUGAGGAUAGCUGACUUGAGGCCUUCACGGGCUUCUAGUCGGUGAAAAUCAAUUUAAUCGCAGCGGCUUGAACCGGGCAAAAGUCGUAACA
RNAcentral lists this ribosomal RNA (330 nucleotides) under uncultured eukaryote. RNAcentral's name for it is "partial 18S ribosomal RNA". It matches the Rfam family "Eukaryotic small subunit ribosomal RNA", at positions 1470 to 1796 of the family's 1831-position model. The record is from RNAcentral.